This 327-nucleotide ribosomal RNA is filed under the name uncultured eukaryote. RNAcentral's name for it is "partial 18S ribosomal RNA". It matches the Rfam family "Eukaryotic small subunit ribosomal RNA", at positions 1470 to 1796 of the family's 1831-position model. The record is from RNAcentral.
CCCUUAGAUGUCCUGGGCCGCACGCGCGUUACACUGAUGCAUUCAACGAGCAUAUAACCUUGGCCGAGAGGCCUGGGUAAUCUUGUUAACAUGCAUCGUGAUAGGGAUAGAUUAUUGCAAUUAUUAAUCCUGAACGAGGAAUUCCUAGUAAUCGCAGUUCAUCAAACUGCAAUGAUUACGUCCCUGCCCUUUGUACACACCGCCCGUCGCACCUACCGAUUGAAUGGUCCGGUGAGGACUCGGGAUUGUGGUUUAGCUCCUUCAUUGGGGCCUGACUGCGAGAACUUGUCCGAACCUUAUCAUUUAGAGGAAGGUGAAGUCGUAACA